ACUUAAGUAGUUUAAAAAAAAUUUUGAUUUGUGGUGUCAUAGAUGUAAUGAUUUACCUUAAGUU
This 64-nucleotide transfer RNA is filed under the name Creobroter gemmatus. Its description in RNAcentral is "tRNA-His". Lineage: Eukaryota; Metazoa; Arthropoda; Insecta; Mantodea; Hymenopodidae. The record is from RNAcentral.